CCCCACAUGGUGAGACCAGCAACGAUACCGAACCCUCCCCACGCGAGAACGUCCAUGGGGAUCACGAUAUCUCCUCCUCCUCCCGCAGCUCCUCUUUGGAGGAUGCUCAACGCGGCGGCUAAAGGUCCGAUGGCGUUGGAGACGUCGCUGCCUCCGUGAGCGAAGGACAUGAAGCAGGCAGAGAGGACUUGCAUGUAGCCGAAGACUCCGUAGACUAUCUCGAGCUGAGUGUCUGUAGGACCUGCGAUCUCGGAGAGGAAACCAAUGCUUUUGGGCUGGUUCUGCGGUGUGUCUUGUGGUUUGGUUUUGGCUAGAAGGUGGCCGAGCUUGUCCCGGAUGAUUCUGUCGAAGAUUAUGGCUCCUGCUGCUCCACAGGCUAAGGCUUGGGAUAGAGCUAUGGGGAAGAUCUUGCUCAGAGGAAACGCGGCGAAAGAAAUGCUGGCGACGCCUAUGAACACGGCGACAGGAGCUGCUGUUGCCGCCGCUUGUCCCGGGUUUGGUGCACUGUAAACAAACUGCAAAGGACAGAAGCUUAAGCAUGUAAAAAAGAGAAUGGCUCGAAAGGAACAGACCGCUCUGAUACCUUAUAGAAUAGAAGGCAUGUAUUAUAGUUACAAAAUAUAUAGUGAUUAAAUAAUACCAAUCUAUUCUUUACAUAUAUACUCCCUCCAUUUCAAUAUAGAUGAUGUUUUAGAGGAAGUAUUUUGUUUUAAUUUACAUGAAGUUUUGAGGUUUAAGAUUAAUUUUAACUUUAGUGAAAACUGUUUAACCAAUUAGAUUUUACAGUUUUUUUUUAUAAUUGGUUAAAUAAUUUUAAAAUUAUAUUUUUACAAAUAUUUUUUUUUUAAAUGCAAGUGUCUUAAUCUUUGUAAACAAAAGUAAAACAUCAAGCAAGUAUUAUGAAACGGAAGGAGUAUACUCUACUCAAAGUUUGGUUGUUGAGAUUGAUUUGUUUUGUUUUACUUACUCUUCUGAUGCAUUUGUAAACAAGAAAGGAGACUAAAGCUCCCAUUAGAGGAGAGAUGACCCAAGAUGAAGCCACUUUAGCUAAAGAACUCCAGAAAACCGCACCAGCUCCACCGUAGACCAGUCCAAACCCAACCAUUGAUCCGACGAUACAGUGAGUUGUAGAUACUGGCCAUCCAAAGUAAGAAGCCACCUGUGAAAAUUCACGAUUACACAAUCGUUUUCAGCAUUAGGUUCUCUACUUAUAUCGUUCAGCAUAGUUGUUUUAAGACACUGCUUCUGUACUUGUAUCGUUUGUCAUUGCCAUCCUCAAAUGUAUUAAACAAUCUUCUAAUAAUCGGUCUAAACGUCUAGACGGCAAAUCGGUCAUAAGGAAACGAUUUAUCUAAACUGAUUUUUUUUGCCUAAGCACUAAUCUCAUAUAAAGUGUAGAAUUACCGCCUAUUGAUUUCUUGAACAUUGGUAUUAAAUUUACUAAAUAUUUUUCUAGAAACUAGUGAGGAAGAAGCAAAAGAUAAGAUGAGAACCUGUAACCAAGUUCCAGCUGCAGCCAAGGAAGAGAGGAGACCAGCAAAGAGCAACAUAUCUUUCCCUUGGAACACAUUAGCCAUGAGGAUCCCUUUCUGCAUCGUGCUAGUCACGUGAGUUCCCAUCAAAAGAGCACCUGAGAACUCAAGAACCGCAGCAGUAAUCACAGCUUGACGGAUGGUAAGGGCUCCGGAACCAACAGAAGUCCCCAUGGCAUUGGCCACAUCAUUAGCUCCGAUGUUCCACGCCAUGUAGAAACCGAAGAGUAGUGUGGCGUAAGAGAGGAGUUUGGUCUUGAGAGCGAGUCCUUGUCCCAGGGAUUUCAUGAAGAGUGGCAAGGAGAGAGCAGAGAAGGCGAUGACUAUGGUGAUUGCCCUCGCUGUCUUGGAUGAAAUGUGAAAGGCAUUAGCCAUUCCAGAGAAGUCUCCAACAGCUUCUGCGUUACCUUUUUCAUCAGAGUCGUGAGAGUUCUGUAUCUGUUGAUCCCCAUCUCCUUCAGCAUAAGAGGAGAAGCUAGCUAAAGGGUGGACGAGUUUGAGAGGAAGAGAGGUGUGUUUCUGUGGAGAAAGGAAUAGGGCACUGUUCUUCUUGAAGAGAGGAGAAUCCUUGGGAGAGAAGCAACCGAGAGCUGAUCUAGGUACGCAGAGGUGAGAAGUCUUGAGUAGAAGAGAGUGGUUCCUAACCGAAGAGAGUCCAUAAGGAAGAGUCAUGCCUGGGAAGAGGAUGUGUGGGAAUCAAGAAGAGAAAAUGAGAUAUGAGAAUCUACAAAGAUUGGGAUAUGGUUAUGGAUGAUGAAGAAGAUGAUGGUGAUGUUGAGGAUGAUGAAAAUGGUGUUGCAUAAUGGGAAUUUGAUUUCAGGAGACUAGAGAGAAGGUUGGUUGGUAGUGGUGGCGGCCAGGGAACGUGAGGUGGAGGUGAGAGGAUUGAGUUUGGAUGAUUCUUUGUGUUAGCGUCAAGCGUUAUGAAUUUGUGUGGUUCUUGUUAAGUGAGAGGGAGGCUCUUUAGUUAGGCUUCAGGACAUCACAAAUGCCCACUAAAAGUCUAAAAGGAUGUAAAAAAAGUUUGGAAUUUUUGUUCUUUGGACGUAGUAAUGAGUUGCUCAAAAAAAAAAGGAUGUAGUAAUGAAAGAAUAGAAUUAGGUGGCAUUUCUUAUUAGAUUUUAUAUAAACGUGGCACAUUUUUUUUUUACAAAUGCCUACCAUCUUGUUUUUUUUUUUUUUGAUCAGCUCCUACCAUCUUGUUUGACCUUGAAAAUAAAGAGUUUCAGAUUUUAGUUUAGUGAUGUACUUAUACAAAAAGACUAGGAUAAGACCCGCGCCUUGCGCAGGAUUAAGUUAUUAUUUUUAUUAUAUUUUGGAGAAUGAAACAAUAGUUUGACUUCAUUUGGAUUACGGAUGUUCAAUCCGGAUAUCGGGUUGGUUUCGGUUCGGUUCGGUUUUUUUCGGUAUUUGGUUAGUAAAAUAUAACUACUAUUCUAAAUCCAUAUUUACUUUGACUUUAAUCUUUCACAUACUUUUGAAAGAUUUCAACUGGAUGACUAAAUUGAUCAGCCAAUCUUGUUGCUUUAAAUCAUUAGUGUUUAUAUAUAUAUAUAUUAUUUAGUUUGAAUAUUUAUUAAAUAAAAAUUCAUAUGCGUUAUAUUUUAUGAUCAUUUGUAACUUAUUAUAACAAAAAAAUAAUCUAUUGAUCACAAAAUUUUCNNNNNNNNNNNNNNNNNNNNNNNNNNNNNNNNNNNNNNNNNNNNNNNNNNNNNNNNNNNNNNNNNNNNNNNNNNNNNNNNNNNNNNNNNNNNNNNNNNAAAAAAAAAAAAAAACAUAAACUCACAAGACAAACGACAAGAGCUUGGUGAAAACCCAAGUGUAGAUUACAGCAAGUGUACCUCCGACAGGAAUCGUAACGAGCCACGAAGCAACGAUCUCUUUAACCGUCUCCGCCCUCACGCUGUUAAGCCCCCUAGCAAAACCAACUCCCAUCACAGCUCCAACGAGCGUAUGAGUCGCCGAUAUCGGAAGCCCUAACUUGGAAGCAAACAAAACCACCGACGCCGCCGCGAACUCCGCAGCAAACCCUCUCGUCGGUGUAAGCUCAGUGAUCUUCUUCCCUAUCGUUGCAAUCACUCUGUAUCCCCACAUGGUGAGACCAGCAACGAUACCGAACCCUCCCCACGCGAGAACGUCCAUGGGGAUCACGAUAUCUCCUCCUCCUCCCGCAGCUCCUCUUUGGAGGAUGCUCAACGCGGCGGCUAAAGGUCCGAUGGCGUUGGAGACGUCGCUGCCUCCGUGAGCGAAGGACAUGAAGCAGGCGGAGAGGACUUGCAUGUAGCCGAAGACUCCGUAGACUAUCUCGAGUUGAGUAUCUGUAGGACCUGCGAUCUCGGAGAGAAAACCGAUGCUUUUGGGCUGGUUCUGCGGUGUGUCUUGUGGUUUGGUUUUGGCGAGAAG
This 3935-nucleotide long non-coding RNA is filed under the name Brassica napus (rape). RNAcentral describes it as "long non-coding RNA (BNAP_LNC000938)". The record is from RNAcentral. Lineage: Eukaryota; Viridiplantae; Streptophyta; Magnoliopsida; Brassicales; Brassicaceae.